AUUGAACGCUGGCGGCAUGCUUUACACAUGCAAGUCGAACGGUAACAGGCUGCAAGGUGCUGACGAGUGGCGGACGGGCGAGUAAUGCACCGGAACGUGCCCAGCCGUGGGGGUUAACUACUCGACAGAGUAGCUAAUACCGCAUCCGAUCUAUGGUCGAAAGCGGGGGACGGUAAGGCAUCGCGCGAUUGGAGCGGCCGAUGUCCGAUUAGGUAGUUGGUGGGGUAAUGGCUCACCAAGCCCACGAUCUGUAGCUGGUCUGAGAGGACAACCAGCCACACUGGGACUGGGACAGGGCCCAGGGUCCUACGGGAGGCAGCAGUGGGGAAUGUUGGACAAUGGGCGCGAGCCUGAUCCAGCAAUGCCGCGUGCAGGAAGGAGGCCUUCGGGUUGUAAACUGCUUUUGUGCGGAACGAAACGGCUCUGGUUAAUACCCGGGGCUAAUGACGGUACCGUAAGAAUAAGCACCGGCUAACUACGUG
This 482-nucleotide ribosomal RNA is filed under the name uncultured bacterium. Its description in RNAcentral is "partial 16S ribosomal RNA". It matches the Rfam family "Bacterial small subunit ribosomal RNA", at positions 29 to 507 of the family's 1533-position model. The record is from RNAcentral.